UACCUAAAUGGCGGACGUUUUGGAAAGAGAAACAAAACAAUUUAAUAUCUUUAAAAAGAUAUACGGCGUUGAUGUUGUAAUGUUUGCGACCAGUGAAAGGAGAUGGAAUGGAGCGACCAUGUAUUUUAAUGAAGAGUCUAAAGCGCCAGCACUCAUUCUGUGAGAAUGCAACUCGAAAGAAACAGGAUCGGUUCAUACGACGACUGUCUGGGACCCUCUACAACACCAGUUUUAACCAUCACGAGUCAGUGAGACAAGAGAGGCAGACAGACUGAUGUAAAAGCCCAAACCACAUUUGGGCUUUAAAAGUCUUGAUCCAAUCUACAGGAAAUUGUGUAACCCUACUGUACAGUGUUUCGUGAUAAACAUUUUCUUAUGAACACCAUUAUUAAAUUGAAUACAAUAUUAUUGAAAGGUACUGUUUUAAGUUUUAUAUACCGACCAUAAUGAAAUUCAACAUUGAACCCAACCAGAAAGACAAUAUAUUUCAAAUGGCGCCAACAGGGGACAAGACCAUUGCAUGCUUCACGUUCAAGUUUGGAGGAUCUACGAACUAGAACUUUAUCAGUUUUUAUUGUGUUUUAUCAGUGACACUGGAUUUUGUGUGUUAUGUGAAGUGUGUGACUUUAACCAGUGCCGCUGCAAAUUAAAGGACUGGAUAGUGACAUUGUGAUCUAGUGGCCAAUUUCGCAGAUGUAACCUGUAACAGUAUCGUGAGUACACGUUGUUUUCAAAAUAUAGUAAACAUUGUUUUCAAAAUAUUCAGAAAUUAGUGGAAAAUAUAGUAAACAUUGUUUUCAAAAUAUUCAGAAACUGCAGUUAUAGUUUCCGAGUCCAAACUGGUUAUUUU
Molecule: long non-coding RNA, 850 nt
Organism: Dreissena polymorpha
Lineage: Eukaryota; Metazoa; Mollusca; Bivalvia; Myida; Dreissenidae
Exons: 4
Source: RefSeq, a predicted model, not a curated record